RNAcentral lists this small RNA (29 nucleotides) under Bombyx mori (domestic silkworm). RNAcentral describes it as "ovarian small RNA-6202". Lineage: Eukaryota; Metazoa; Arthropoda; Insecta; Lepidoptera; Bombycidae. The record is from RNAcentral.
UACUGUGAGCAGAACAGUUUUUUUGAGGU